CCUCUCCCAUUCCAUCUCUUCUAUCCCCCUCUCUCCCAUUCCAUCUCCUCUAUCCCCUCUCUCCCAUUCCUUUUCCUCUAUCCCCUCUCUCCCAUUCCAUCUCUUCUAUCCCCUCUCUCCCAUUCCUUCUCCUCUAUCCCCCUCUCCCAUUCCUUCUCCUUAACACCCCUCUCCCAUUCCUUAUCCUCUAUCCCCUCUGUCCCAUUUCUUCCCAUCUACCCCUCUCCCAUUCCUUCUCCUCUAUUCCCUCUCUCCCAUUCCUUCUCCUCUAUCCCCUCUCUCCCAUUCCAUCUCCUCUAUCCCCCCUCUCCCAUUCCUUCUCCUCGACACCCACUCUCCCAUUCCAUCUCCUCUAUUCCCUCUCUCCCAUUCCUUUCUCUCUACCCCCUCUCUCUCAUUCUCCAGUGCCUUAUCCUCAGGGUUGGGGAGUUUACAUGUAACGGUAACUGUAAUCCGUUACAAACGAAAAUAUUGUAAUCAGAUUACAGAUACUUUUGAAAAACUAGAAGAUUAUUUCCAGGGUUACUUUUAAAUUCAGAAAGGAUGUUUCUGAAAAAAAAUAUUGACACCUCUCUGUUUUCUCAAUGACAUUCAAAUCAGCAUUGAAGAAGGCGCAAAUGUAUUAAGUUUGUUCCACCUGAGCGAGUCUGACCACAAGUCAGAGACCACUAUGAUAACACAUCAAAUGUGUUUGAUGGAUCGCGGGAAAAGAGCAGGAAAGGGCUAUUGUGGGUUUCAGUCCAAGCCAUGUCUUCCAAUGGUGUGACUGCUGUCGGCAUCCAAAGAUGAUCCAACUUGAAUAAAGGCUUGGAGGUAAAGGAUGACAGUAGUGGUGUCGUCUACAGUGAUACCGAUAUCACUAAUUACUGAUAUCUACAUAGCGUAUUGAUGUGAAUCACACUGCUGCUCUCUUAUUUAGCUAUUUUUGCCUUACGGAUUGUGGUUGUAUGUUCACAAAUCUAAAUGUGGUUUUGAACCCAAUAAUGGUUGAAUUCAAGAAGUUGCAUAGUGCGGAUCCCAGCAUAUGGAAUAACAGUUGCAUAGUGCGGAUCCCAGCAUAUGGAAUAACAGCUGCAUAGUGCGGAUCCCAGCAUAUGGAAUAACAGCUGCAUAGUGCAGAUCCCAGCAUAUGGAAUAACAGCUGCACAGUGCAGAUCCCAGCAUAUGGAAUAACAGCUGCAUAGUGCGGAUCCCAGCAUAUGGAAUAACAGCUGCACAGUGCAGAUCCCAGCAUAUGGAAUAACAGCUGCAUAGUGCGGAUCCCAGCUAAUGGAAUAACAGCUGCAUAGUGCGGAUCCCAGCAUAUGGAAUAACAGCUGCAUAGUGCGGAUCCCAGCUAAUGGAAUAACAGCUGCAUAGUGCAGAUCCCAGCAUAUGGAAUAACAGCUGCACAGUGCAGAUCCCAGCAUAUGGAAUAACAGCUGCAUAGUGCAGAUCCCAGCAUAUGGAAUAACAGCUGCACAGUGCAGAUCCCAGCAUAUGGAAUAACAGCUGCAUAGUGCGGAUCCCAGCAUAUGGAAUAACAGCUGCAUAGUGCGGAUCCCAGCAUAUGGAAUAACAGCUGCAUAGUGCGGAUCCCAGCAUAUGGAAUAACAGCUGCAUAGUGCAGAUCCCAGCAUAUGGAAUAACAGCUGCACAGUGCGGAUCCCAGCAUAUGGAAUAACAGCCGCAUAGUGCGGAUCCCAGCAUAUGGAAUAACAGCUGCAUAGUGCAGAUCCCAGCAUAUGGAAUAACAGCUGCAUAGUGCGGAUCCCAGCAUAUGGAAUAAACGUGGUGCUUUUAUUGCACAAUAUAAUUCAAGUUGAUAAAAAUAAAUCCAUAGGCCUACUGGACACAUGCUCAAACUCCUUCACUUUUGAUAGACUUAAAGGGUCAAUCUGUAGAUGGUACAUCCAUUUUUGGACUUAUACAUUAUAUAUACCUGUAUAUAUCCAUUAAUUGUUGAAGAAUAUAACUUAUAAAUGCCUCAUGAGCUUAGUUCAACAGCCACACUCCAUCAGAACCCAAAAUAGAAGCUUGUUUUUCUCCAAUGUUUGUAAACAUUGUAAAUGUAAUCAAACAAGGUAUAGCCUCAUAACAUACUGUAGUUAAAACUAUAAUUUUGAUAUCAUGGAUGGUCAGUCCUUACAUCCGUAGCUCUGUCUAUUCAUCUGAGAGUGGUUACAUUUCUCCAGGCCCAUCCCUCCGCUUUUUACCAAAACAGAGGCGGGGUGCCCAUUUUGUUAUUGUUUCAUCUGUGGAGUUGCCCUUUAAACAGCUGCAUAUUAUCAAGAUAUCAAAGUGUCGCCAACUAAAAGGUAAACAAUAGACAUAUAGCAAAUGCAGCACAUGGCAUUCAUUUUUCACAUGUAAAUAGCACUUUUCAGUGUUCAAAGCUUGCCAUUCCACGAGCGAAGCAUUUAUUUUUUCAAUUAGAAUCAAUAAACCCAAUCAGUCCUCAACGACAAAAUCAUAAACAACACAGUAGGGCUGGCUAAUAAGUCCUUCGUUUUGGGGUUAUACUCAGAUAAAACCGUUUGGCUGAUCUAUACUUCUGUAUUUCCAAGUCCUAUUCUUGAAGGUCAAGGGGUAUAUCAUUUAUUGUAAUGACUGGAAUUCUGAUAGACUGGUUUUUAAUGUAAAUAUAUAGUUUAAUCGUUGGAGUAGAAAGCGAUGGGUUAGAAGAAGCCUACAUAACCCAUAAAGUCAAAUGUAACACCCAUUUAUGACCAGCUAUGUAAACUUUAACAUUGAUUUAUCCUGCAAUGUCGUUCAAUUGGUAACAUACAUUUUUGUCUUCUUCUUAUACCUCUUAAGGGGAAAGUCAUCUAAAAUAAAUGUAAUGUAAUCAGAUUAUGUUACUGAGUUUGGGUAAUCCAAAAGUUUUAUUUCUGAUUACAAUUUUGGACAGGUAACUUGUUUAGAAAGUAACCUACCCAACCCUGCUUAUCCUACAGUGCCUUCUCCUGUCUCUCCUCUACCCCCCCCUCUCUGAUUCCAUCUCCUAUACCCUAGUCCCAUUCCCUAGGGCCUGUCUCUCCUCUACCCCACUCUCCCAUUCCAUCUCCUAUACCCUAGUCCCAUUCCAUCUCCUAUACCCUAGUCCCAUUCCAUCUCCUAUACUCUAGUCCCAUUCCAUCUCCUAUACCCUAGUCCCAUUCCAUCUCCUAUACCCUAGUCCCAUUCCAUCUCCUAUACCCUAGUCCCAUUCCAUCUCCUAUACCCUAGUCCCAUUCCAUCUCCUAUACUCUAGUCCCAUUCCAUCUCCUAUACCCUAGUCCCAUUCCAUCUCCUAUACUCUAGUCCCAUUCCAUCUCCUAUACUCUAGUCCCAUUCCAUCUCCUAUACCCUAGUCCCAUUCCAUCUCCUAUACUCUAGUCCCAUUCCAUCUCCUAUACCCUAGUCCCAUUCCAUCUCCUAUACCCUAGUCCCAUUCCAUCUCCUAUACCCUAGUCCCAUUCCAUCUCCUAUACCCUAGUCCCAUUCCAUCUCCUAUACCCUAGUCCCAUUCCAUUUCCUAUACCCUAGUCCCAUUCCAUCUCCUAUACCCUAGUCCCAUUCCAUCUCCUAUACCCUAGUCCCAUUCCAUCUCCUAUAUCCUAGUCCCAUUCCAUCUCCUAUACCCUAGUCCCAUUCCAUCUCCUAUACCCUAGUCCCAUUCCAUCUCCUAUAUCCUAGUCCCAUUCCAUCUCCUAUAUCCUAGUCCCAUUCCAUCUCCUAUACCCUAGUCCCAUUUCAUCUCCUAUACCCUAGUCCCAUUUCAUAUCCUAUACCCUAGUCCCAUUCCAUCUCCUAUACCCUAGUCACAUUCCAUCUCCUAUACCCUAGUCCCAUUCCAUCUCCUAUACCCUAGUCCCAUUCCAUCUCCUAUACCCUAGUCCCAUUCCAUCUCCUAUAUCCUAGUCCCAUUCCAUCUCCUAUACCCUAGUCCCAUUCCAUCUCCUAUACCCUAGUCCCAUUCCAUCUCCUAUAUCCUAGUCCCAUUCCAUCUCCUAUAUCCUAGUCCCAUUCCAUCUCCUAUAUCCUAGUCCCAUUCCAUCUCCUAUAUCCUAGUCCCAUUCCAUCUCCUAUACCCUAGUCCCAUUCCAUCUCCUAUAUCCUAGUCCCAUUCCAUCUCCUAUAUCCUAGUCCCAUUCCAUCUCCUAUAUCCUAGUCCCAUUCCAUCUCCUAUAUCCUAGUCCCAUUCCAUCUCCUAUACCCUAGUCCCAUUCCAUCUCCUAUACCCUAGUCCCAUUCCAUCUCCUAUACCCUAGUCCCAUUCCAUCUCCUAUAUCCUAGUCCCAUUCCCUAGGGCCUUAUCCUACAGUGCCUUCUAUACCCCCUUUCCAUUUUUAUUUUUAUUUACCCAGGAAAAGCCUAUUGAGACACAGUCUCUUUUUCAAGGGAGACCUGGCCAAGAAGGCAUUAACAAUCAAUACAUUACAGAAUUAAAACAUACAACAAUACAAUACAACAACGUGAUCCAGCCUAAGAAAAAGCAUUUACACUCCUCUGUAACAGAGUCUCCCAUCAAUAUUUUAAAUGAAUUCCGUGGCACUAACAUCAAUAGUGGAAAAAGUACCCAAUUGUCAUACUUGAGUAAAAGUAAAGAUACCUUAAUAGAAAAAGGCACUGCAUCUCAGUAAAGGCGUCACUACAGACCCUGGUUUGAUUCCAGGCUGUAUCACAUCCGGCUGUGAUUGGGAGUCCCAUAGUGCGUCGCACAAUUGGCCCAGUGUGGUCGGGAUUAGGGUUUGGCCGGGGAAGGCCCAGUGUCGUCUGGAUUAGGGUUUGGCCGGAGAAGGCCCAGUGUCGUCUGGAUUAGGGUUUGGCCGGAGAAGGCCCAGUGUCGUCUGGAUUAGGGUUUGGCUGGGGAAGGCCCAGUGUCGUCUGGAUUAGGGUUUGGCCGGGGAAGGCCGUCAUUGUAAAUAAGAAUUUGUUCUUAACUGACUUGCCUAGUUAAAUCAAGGUUAAAGAAAAUGGUAAAAGUGAAAGUCACACAGUAAAAUACUACUUGAGUAAAAGUAUUUGCUUUUAAAUGCUUUCUCCUAUAUCCCUUCCCAUUCCCUAGUGCCUUAUCCUACAGUACUUUCUCCCCUACCCAUUCCCUAGCGCCUUAUCCUACAGUACUUUCUCCCCUACCCAUUCCCUAGUGCCUUAUCCUACAGUACUUUCUCCCCUACCCAUUCCCUAGCGCCUUAUCCUACAGUACUUUCUCCCCUACCCAUUCCCUAGCGCCUUAUCCUACAGUAAUUUCUCCCCUACCCAUUCCCUAGCACCUUAUCCUACAGUAAUUUCUCCCCUACCCAUUCCCUAGCACCUUAUCCUACAGUACUUUCUCCCCUGCCCAUUCCCUAGCGCCUUAUCCUACAGUACUUUCUCCCCUGCCCAUUCCCUAGCGCCUUAUCCUACAGUAAUUUCUCCCCUACCCAUUCCCUAGCACCUUAUCCUACAGUACUUUCUCCCCUGCCCAUUCCCUAGCGCCUUAUCCUACAGUACUUUCUCCCCUGCCCAUUCCCUAGCGCCUUAUCCUACAGUGCUUUCUCCCCUACCCAUUCCCUAGCGCCUUAUCCUACAGUGCUUUCUCCCCUACCCAUUCCCUAGCGCCUUAUCCUACAGUGCUUUCUCCCCUACCCAUUCCCUAGCGCCUUAUCCUACAGUACUUUCUCCCCUACCCAUUCCCUAGCGCCUUAUCCUACAGUACUUUCUCCCCUACCCAUUCCCUAGCGCCUUAUCCUACAGUACUUUCUCCUAUACCCAUUCCCUAGCGCCUUAUCCUACAUUACUUUCUCGUAGACCCAUUCCCUAGCGCCUUAUCCUACAGUACUUUCUCCCCUACCCAUUCCCUAGCGCCUUAUCCUACAGUGCUUUCUCCUAUACCCAUUCCCUAGCGCCUUAUCCUACAGUACUUUCUCCCCUACCCAUUCCCUAGCGCCUUAUCCUACAGUACUUUCUCCUAUACCCAUUCCCUAGCGCCUUAUCCUACAGUACUUUCUCCUAUACCCAUUUCCUAGCGCCUUAUCCUACAGUACUUUGUCCCCUACCCAUUCCCUAGCGCCUUAUCCUACAGUGCUUUCUCCUAUACCAUUCCCUAGCGCCUUAUCCUACAGUACUUUCUCCCCUACCCAUUCCCUAGCGCCUUAUCCUACAGUGCUUUCUCCCUACCCAUUCCCUAGCGCCUUAUCUUACAGUGCUUUCAACCCUACCCAUUCCCUAGCGCCUUAUC
Long non-coding RNA from Oncorhynchus tshawytscha (Chinook salmon), 6184 nucleotides. NCBI's taxonomy places the organism in Eukaryota, Metazoa, Chordata, Actinopteri, Salmoniformes, Salmonidae. The record is from Ensembl.